Molecule: ribosomal RNA, 484 nt
Filed under: uncultured bacterium
Lineage: Bacteria
Description: partial 16S ribosomal RNA
Rfam family: Bacterial small subunit ribosomal RNA
Source: RNAcentral
AUUGAACGCUGGCGGCAUGCUUUACACAUGCAAGUCGAACGGCAGCGCGGGCAUAGGUUUGGCGGAGAGUGGCGGACGGGUGAGCAAUGCAUCGGAACGUGCCCAGCUGUGGGGGAUAGCGCGGCGAAAGCCGGAUUAAUACCGCAUUAGACCUGAGGGUGAACGGGGGGGACCGAAAGGCCUCGCGAUAUUGGAGCGGCCGAUGUCGGAUUAGCUAGUUGGUGGGGUAAAGGCUUACCAAGGCGACGAUCCGUAGCUGGUCUGAGAGGACGACCAGCCACACUGGGACUGAGACACGGCCCAGACUCCUACGGGAGGCAGCAGUGGGGAAUUUUGGACAAUGGGGGCAACCCUGAUCCAGCCAUGCCGCGUGCGUGAAGAAGGCCUUCGGGUUGUAAAGCGCUUUUGUUCGGGAAGAAAACCUCUGGGCUAAUACCCCGGGGUGAUGACGGUACCGGAAGAAUAAGCACCGGCUAACUACGUG